AUGCCUUUUAUAAGAAAUGGGCAGAUUCUAGCAGUAUUUGUGAGAAAAACUGGUGGAUCCUGCAGAUUAACUAUGGACAGCCAAAUAUUGAGUAAAGUGAUGUCUACAACAGCAUCAGCUAUGCCUGAUAUGGUGUUAAUUCACAUUGUGAAGGUUGGUAUGUACCCAAUUGUGACUAAACCAAAAGAAACAAAUCUGGAAACUGAAGUACCAAUACAUGAAAAGCGUUCUUUUGGUAUUGGGAGUGCCAGUUGUCUUUGUUUCAUGAACUACUUCUCCGUAAUAGCACGCAGCCAUCUUUAG
RNAcentral lists this long non-coding RNA (303 nucleotides) under Pan paniscus (pygmy chimpanzee). RNAcentral describes it as "lncRNA (ENSPPAG00000045068.1)". Lineage: Eukaryota; Metazoa; Chordata; Mammalia; Primates; Hominidae. The record is from RNAcentral.